UCUGUUAUGUCAAAUCCGAAAAUACCAGGCUUGAUUCGGCCAUCAAAAUCCAGAGGGUGUUCAGAGGUUUUCUGGUGCGGAAGAGCUUGAAGAAAGUUGUGGCGAUUGAGAGGGAAGUGAAUGAGAUAGAGAGGAGGCUUGCGAAUGAAGAGACGGUCGAUUUGGUUCGGAAGGAUGCUAAGGAGAGAAUUAGGUUUGGUGAGAUAUUGAUGAAUUUGCUGUUUAGGUUGGAUUCGGUGAAAGGCGUGGAUUCUGGAAUUAGGAAUUUGAGGAAAGCGGUGAUCAAGAAGGCUAUUGCGUUACAGGAGAAGAUUGAUUCAAUUGCUGCUGCGAAUGGAGCUACUAACGUGAUUUAUGAGACUCUCGAACCCGUUACUGCUAAAUGUGAUUCCGAAGCUGUUGAUCGCGAAUCUGCUGAUGAGUGUGAUGGCGAGAAUGCUGAUGGAGUAGAAGCGCCAAAGCCUGGAGCAAUUCUUGAGGAAUCUAAAGCUUGUUUUGUGGAAUCUAAUGUUGAUCCGGAAGUUCCUCAAGAAUCAGAGGAAGGGAAGAACUGUCCAGGAAAAGAUGACACGGAUCUUGAAGCGGCAGCGAGUGAAGAUGUGAGUCAGACGGAUUCAUCGAACAACCCACCAAAUUCAGACGAUGGGGUUGCAGAAUGUGGGUCUGUAGAUGAAAGAGAGAGUGGUGCAAAUGAAGAGGAUGAUAGCAGAAUCGAAGAAAGAGAGGGGGAUGGGCAGAGUAGAGAGAUUCUUGAAAGGAUGAUGAUGGACAACAAAAGAAUGAUGGAGAUGAUGGCGCAGCUGUUUGAAAAGAAUGAAAAGCAGUCACAAUUGCUAUUCUCACUGUCUCAAAGGGUUGAGAGGUUAGAAAAGACACU
This 877-nucleotide long non-coding RNA is filed under the name Cucumis sativus (cucumber). RNAcentral's name for it is "long non-coding RNA (CSAT_LNC001383)". Lineage: Eukaryota; Viridiplantae; Streptophyta; Magnoliopsida; Cucurbitales; Cucurbitaceae. The record is from RNAcentral.